This 1588-nucleotide long non-coding RNA is filed under the name Fukomys damarensis (Damara mole-rat). RNAcentral describes it as "lncRNA (ENSFDAG00000027810.1)". Lineage: Eukaryota; Metazoa; Chordata; Mammalia; Rodentia; Bathyergidae. The record is from RNAcentral.
GAGCCCUGGGGCCCAAAGGAAGCUUCUGCCCCCCCCCCCGAGGAGGGUCUCCCACACGUGGGCUCUGCCAAGAGCAGCACCAGCACGCGGUGGCAGUUACUCCUCCCGGGGCUGGGCGGGGGCCAGGAGGAAAGACCGCAUUUCACUGGCAGCCAGGGCCGGAGAAAGGGAAAGCUAUGCAAGGCUAACAGAGCAAAAAGAAAAGGGGGAGACUCAAACACCUCCUAAAAAUCAGGUUCCACUCUGCCCUAUAAAGGAUAGACUUGGGAACAUGGAGGCACCUCGGGACCACCUUAACUGAAAUAAAUCAGACACACAAGCUUAAACAUGUGGUUUCUCUUACACGAGAAACCCAAAGUAGAAAUAAAAUAAAGACCAAAAUAAAAGAUACAUAAUAGGAAAUGGAGAUAGAUAUUUUGUAAGAGGGAAGGGGACCAAGAGAUGUGGAGACAUGGGGGAGGAAUAGUGGAAUAAAAAGAUUAAGAUGUUAAGUACAGGUAUCAACUCCCCACGAUGAAUGUACUGGACAAAUAAGAGUAAAAAAGAAAACGGUCUUAAUCAGAAACCCACACCGUACCCAGCAGUGCUCACAGCAGCUGUGUGCCACCCCACACUUGGGCAGCCAGGGCUGCGGCUCCCAGGCAAGAGGCCGAGGGCUCGGGAGGUGGCCAGGGAGGCCCCACUGCCUCUGCCAGUAGAAAUGAGGUGCUCAGUGAGGCUGGACAUGGGCACCCCACCCGGGAGAUCAUGGGGUGGCCCCUGCCUCCACUGUGACCCAGAAGCAGUCCUUUCUCCCAGAUCAGAUCGGGCCAAUGGGAGUGAGCUCUCUGCCUGGAAUUCUUCAGGUGCCUGGACUGAGCUGUACCAGCCAUUCCUGCCCAGUGAAACGGGCAGAGCUGGAGGAGCCGGCUGUGAAGGCAGCUUCCUCCCGAGCGGGGACCAGCAGAAAACUCCUGCCUCCCACUGCAGCCUCAAGGCACGACAGGCCAGCCAGGGCAACCUCCUGCUACCGGGCCGUGGGCAAAGCAGAUGGACAGCAGGACUCACUCAACUGUGUGCCACAACCCUCGGACGGACCCCGACUCCAGGAAGGGGCGCAGUGCGCAGGCUCCCUACCCGAAGCCGAGCACCAGUGCUACCCCUCGGUCUCCUCCCUGUGACGGCAGUGAUAACCCUGUUGCUGCUGCGUCACGUGGGCCAGCGAAGUUCACACGUGCCAGGUGCUAACCACGGCAAGGGCUCACUUCCGCCUGCAAGGACACUGCCGGGGCCGUUCCAGGGGUCAUCAGUGCCAACACUGAUCUGCCACGAGGCAGGGCACAGGAAGAGGAAAGAAGGAAAGCUCGUGACCGGAGCAGACGUGGUGGACAGACCCCACUUCAAAGCAUCCCCGCCCCUGCCUGCCGGUCAUGACUGCGGCACACACGACCUUGGGAAGGGGUCGCUUGGCAAGGUCAAGGCCCGGGCUGGUGGUGGUGGUGGAGCUUCAGACUCACAGAAACCAACCCUCUUCCUACAGGAGGCCUCGAAAGUUUUCUUUCAAGAUGCUUUGGAAAUUUGGGUGGAAGAGAAAGUGGUAUUUUUAUGA